UAGGAAUUUUGGACAAUGGGCGAAAGCCUGAUCCAGCAAUGCCGCGUGAGUGAUGAAGGCCUUAGGGUUGUAAAGCUCUUUUACCCGGGAUGAUAAUGACAGUACCGGGAGAAUAAGCCCCGGCUAACUCCGUGCCAGCAGCCGCGGUAAUACGGAGGGGGCUAGCGUUGUUCGGAAUUACUGGGCGUAAAGGGCUCGUAGGCGGCCAACUAAGUCACACGUGAAAUCCCUCGGCUCAACCGGGGAACUGCGUGUGAGACUGGAUGGCUUGAGUUUGGGAGAGGAAUGCGGAAUUCCAGGUGUAGCGGUGAAAUGCGUAGAUAUCUGGAGGAACACCGGUGGCGAAGGCGGCAUCCUGGACCGACAUUGACGCUGAGGAGCGAAAGCUAGGGGAGCAAA
This 399-nucleotide ribosomal RNA is filed under the name uncultured bacterium. Its description in RNAcentral is "bacterial SSU rRNA". It matches the Rfam family "Bacterial small subunit ribosomal RNA", at positions 356 to 772 of the family's 1533-position model. The record is from RNAcentral.